RNAcentral lists this ribosomal RNA (1699 nucleotides) under Nemopilema nomurai. Its description in RNAcentral is "large subunit ribosomal RNA". The stretch from base 150 to 1611 matches the Rfam family "Bacterial large subunit ribosomal RNA". Lineage: Eukaryota; Metazoa; Cnidaria; Scyphozoa; Rhizostomeae; Rhizostomatidae. The record is from RNAcentral.
AGAAACAUCUUAUUUAAACUAAUAAAGAAGUAAUAGUAGUGGCGAACGAACUUACAUACACAAACAAUAAUAAUUAGAUUUGUUAAAAUCUAAGUGAUUCUAAAUGUGACUAAUAAUGAUAGUACUGUGAAGGAAAAUCAUUCAUUUAUUAUUAAUCCUCCAAAUUUUCUGUUGUAAUUCAACGUACCUUUUGUAUAAUGGGCUUACUAGAAAAUACUUAAUUAGUAAUAUAGCAUAUUAUAAUAAUAUAAAAUCAAGUACUCCCGAAACUAAGUGAUUUAUUCUAGGACAACAUAUAGUGUGAACCAAUAACUGUUGCAAAAGUUUUGGAUGAUCUUAGAAUAGAGGUGAAAUACUAACCGAACUUAGAAAUAGCUGGUUUUCUACGAAACUCUUAUAAGAGAAAUAUUUAAAAUUUAUAUAUUUAUAAAAUUAUAAAUGAUAUAUAAAUAAAUAUAUUUUACCAGACUAUUAAUGAUAAGAUUAAUGGUCAAAAGAGAAACAACUCAAACCAAAAGUUAAAGACACCAAUAAAAUAAGUGCAUCACAACAAAAAGUAAAAAUACAAACUCAGUAGGCUUGGAAGCAGCCAUCUACCAACCAGUGCGUAAUAGCAGUUUUUAAGAAUAUAUUUGCUAAAAAUUAAGGUGACUAAAAAAUCUUAAACUUUGGAAUUAGUAGUAGAAUAGACUAUAAAAAUAGUGGAAAUAAUGUAAGCAUGAAUAAUAAAAAAUUCCAAGGUUUUGAAAUUUAUACGACCCAUAAAAAAUAUAGGUUAACUAACUAAAAUGAAAUUCGAGAAAACAGUAGUUAAACAUAAUCGUACUUUCAAACCAUGAGGAAUAAAAAAAGAAUUAAUUCUUCUUAAGGAACUCGGCAAGAUUAAUAAUUAUUUAACUAAAAGAUCGGCUGUUUACCAAAAACAUAGCCUUACUAUACAUAUGUAAGGUGAAACCUGCUCAAUGGUUGUCAAUAAUUACAUAAAAACAAUUAAAUAGCCGCGGUAACUCUGACCGUGAUAAAGUAGCAUAAUCACUCGUCAUUUAAUUGGUGACUGGAAUGAAUGGUUACACGAAUCUUUAACUGUCUCAAGAAGAAAGUUCAAUUAAUUUGAAAAAACAGUGAAGAUGCUGUUAACAAAAUUGUAAGACGAAAAGACCCUUUCGAGCUUUACUAUAAGCUUAUAGAAAAAAUCUUUAAUAAAAAUAUAAUAAAAACAAACUGUAAGCUAGUUAGUUUGGUUGGGGCGACCACCUCUAAAACAGUAUCAGAGGAAAUCUAAAGGUAUAAUAGUAAUAUUAAUUGCCUUACUGUAUACAAACAAGUUAAUCAGUUACUAUUAUGUAGGAUAUAAUGACCCGUUGAAUUAAUUUCAAAAUUCAACGACCAUGAAAAAAGUUACCGUAGGGAUAACAGGGUAAUAUUAUCAAAGAGUUCAUAUCGAUGAUGAUGUUUGCCACCUCGAUGUUGAAUUGUGAUAUCCUGAGGGUGUAGCAGCUCUCAAGGGUCGGUCUGUUCGACCGUUAAAAUCAUACAUGAUUUGAGUUCAUUCCGUCGUAAGACAGGAAGGUUUCUAUCUACAAUAAAGAACUUUUAUUAAACUUUAGUACGAAAGGAAUUAGUUAUUUUGUUACAAUAAUAUUUAAAUUUAAUUUGACUUCAUAUAAAAUUAAUAUUAAAGUUCAACAAUUAUAUAUUU